Molecule: ribosomal RNA, 443 nt
Filed under: uncultured bacterium
Lineage: Bacteria
Description: partial 16S ribosomal RNA
Rfam family: Bacterial small subunit ribosomal RNA
Source: RNAcentral
CCUACGGGUGACAGCAGUGGGGAAUAUUGGGCAAUGGGCGCAAGCCUGACCCAGCAACGCCGCGUGAAGGAAGACGGCUUUCGGGUUGUAAACUUCUUUUCUCAGGGACGAAGCAAGUGACGGUACCUGCGGAAUAAGCCACGACUAACUACGUGCCAGCAGCCGCGGUCAUACGUAGGUGGCAAGCGUUAUCCGGAUUUCCUGGGUGUAAAGGGCGUGUAGGCGGGAAAGCAAGUCAGAUGUGAAAACCAUGGGCUCAACCUGUGGCCUGCAUUUGAAACUGUUUUUCUUGAGUACUGGAGAGGCAGACGGAAUGCCUAGUGUAGCGGUGAAAUGCGUAGAUAUUAGGAGGAACACCAGUGGCGAAGGCGGUCUGCUGGACAGCAACUGACGCUGAGGCGCGAAAGCGUGGGGAGCAAACAGGAUUAGAUACCCUAGUAGUC